CCUACGGGUGGCUGCAGUCGAGAAUCUUCGGCAAUGGGCGAAAGCCUGACCGAGCGACGCCGCGUGCGGGAUGAAGGCCCUCGGGUUGUAAACCGCUGUCGUAGGGGAGGAAGGCUCCGUGAAGAGCGGGGUUUGACCUAUCCUAGGAGGAAGUACGGGCUAAGUUCGUGCCAGCAGCCGCGGUAAUACGAACCGUACAAACGUUAUUCGGAAUCACUGGGCUUAAAGGGUGCGUAGGCGGCCAUGUAAGUGAGGUGUGAAAUCCCUCGGCUCAACCGAGGAACUGCGCUUCAUACUGCAUGGCUUGAGGGAGACAGGGGUCAGCGGAACUGAUGGUGGAGCGGUGAAAUGCGUUGAUAUCAUCAGGAACACCGGUGGCGAAAGCGGCUGACUGGGUCUCUUCUGACGCUGAGGUACGAAAGCUAGGGGAGCGAACGGGA
This 440-nucleotide ribosomal RNA is filed under the name uncultured bacterium. RNAcentral describes it as "bacterial SSU rRNA". It matches the Rfam family "Bacterial small subunit ribosomal RNA", at positions 338 to 777 of the family's 1533-position model. The record is from RNAcentral.